RNAcentral lists this ribosomal RNA (889 nucleotides) under uncultured Bacillota bacterium. RNAcentral's name for it is "bacterial SSU rRNA". It matches the Rfam family "Bacterial small subunit ribosomal RNA", at positions 28 to 897 of the family's 1533-position model. The record is from RNAcentral. Lineage: Bacteria; Bacillati; Bacillota.
GACGAACGCUGGCGGCGUGCCUAAUACAUGCAAGUCGAGCGGACCGAAGGGAGCUUGCUCCUUUAGGUUAGCGGCGGACGGGUGAGUAACACGUGGGCAACCUGCCCUGCAGACUGGGAUAACUUCGGGAAACCGGAGCUAAUACCGGAUAACACCGAAAACCGCAUGGUUUUCGGUUGAAAGACGGCUUUUAGCUGUCACUGCAGGAUGGGCCCGCGGCGCAUUAGCUAGUUGGUGAGGUAACGGCUCACCAAGGCGACGAUGCGUAGCCGACCUGAGAGGGUGAUCGGCCACACUGGGACUGAGACACGGCCCAGACUCCUACGGGAGGCAGCAGUAGGGAAUCUUCCGCAAUGGACGAAAGUCUGACGGAGCAACGCCGCGUGAGCGAAGAAGGUCUUCGGAUCGUAAAGCUCUGUUGUCAGGGAAGAACAAGUGCCGUUCGAACAGGGCGGUACCUUGACGGUACCUGACGAGGAAGCCACGGCUAACUACGUGCCAGCAGCCGCGGUAAUACGUAGGUGGCAAGCGUUGUCCGGAAUUAUUGGGCGUAAAGCGCGCGCAGGCGGUUCCUUAAGUCUGAUGUGAAAUCUCGCGGCUCAACCGCGAGCGGCCAUUGGAAACUGGGGAACUUGAGUGCAGGAGAGGGGAGCGGAAUUCCACGUGUAGCGGUGAAAUGCGUAGAGAUGUGGAGGAACACCAGUGGCGAAGGCGGCUCUCUGGCCUGUAACUGACGCUGAGGCGCGAAAGCGUGGGGAGCGAACAGGAUUAGAUACCCUGGUAGUCCACGCCGUAAACGAUGAGUGCUAAGUGUUAGAGGGUAUCCACCCUUUAGUGCUGCAGCAAACGCAUUAAGCACUCCGCCUGGGGAGUACGGCCGCAAGGCUGA